AGCGGUGAUGAUAAAGCAAUUUAAGUGACGGUAUCGACCGUCACAGUCGUCCUGAUUAUCCGUGACGUUAGCAAGUGCCGUCUGAGCU
Non-coding RNA from Arabis alpina (gray rockcress), 88 nucleotides. NCBI's taxonomy places the organism in Eukaryota, Viridiplantae, Streptophyta, Magnoliopsida, Brassicales, Brassicaceae. The record is from Rfam.